Salmo salar (Atlantic salmon) is the source of this 374-nucleotide non-coding RNA. The record is from RefSeq and is a predicted model, not a curated record. Lineage: Eukaryota; Metazoa; Chordata; Actinopteri; Salmoniformes; Salmonidae.
GAAAUGACAUGUUUUAUAUUUUCCAAAAACAUUUUUUUUUUUUUUAGCAUUUUUUUUAUUUACAUCGGAUAGAAAAAUCCUGGUCCCGGAGAACCGUAGCCCCAUUUCGUGUUCUUAACGACCUGGAAGACCAGGCGCCCAGUUGGAACGGACUACCUGCAGUACUACAGGAACAGAAUUGCCUACCCCUGUCAUACAGAGUAGUGAGGAAGAGCUGUAUGGACCAUUCUUGUCCGGAAGUCAUUUAGCCAUUCCAUUGUAGCCAACGGCGCUCUGUAGAGUUGAUAUUUUCUCGAGUUUUCUUGUGUGAAUUAACUCGUGACAUUCCUGGAUUACUCAUUUAUAUUAAUAAAGUUCUGAUUUUAAUAAACCAA